RNAcentral lists this ribosomal RNA (253 nucleotides) under uncultured bacterium. RNAcentral's name for it is "partial 16S ribosomal RNA". It matches the Rfam family "Bacterial small subunit ribosomal RNA", at positions 524 to 776 of the family's 1533-position model. The record is from RNAcentral.
UACAGAGGGGGCAAGCGUUAUUCGGAAUUAUUGGGCGUAAAGGGCUCGUAGGCGGCCAACUAAGUCGGAUGUGAAAUCCCCAGGCUCAACCUGGGAACUGCAUCCGAUACUGGAUGGCUUGAAUCCGGGAGAGGGAUGCAGAAUUCCAGGUGUAGCGGUGAAAUGCGUAGAUAUCUGGAGGAAUACCGGUGGCGAAGGCGGCAUCCUGGACCGGCAUUGACGCUGAGGAGCGAAAGCUAGGGGAGCAAACGGG